GAUGAACGCUGGCGGCGUGCCUAAUACAUGCAAGUCGAGCGAACAGAUAAGGAGCUUGCUCCUUUGACGUUAGCGGCGGACGGGUGAGUAACACGUGGGUAACCUACCUAUAAGACUGGGAUAACUUCGGGAAACCGGAGCUAAUACCGGAUAACAUUUGGAACCGCAUGGCUCUAAAGUGAAAGAUGGUUUUGCUAUCACUUAUAGAUGGACCCGCGCCGUAUUAGCUAGUUGGUAAGGUAACGGCUUACCAAGGCGACGAUACGUAGCCGACCUGAGAGGGUGAUCGGCCACACUGGAACUGAGACACGGUCCAGACUCCUACGGGAGGCAGCAGUAGGGAAUCUUCCGCAAUGGGCGAAAGCCUGACGGAGCAACGCCGCGUGAGUGAUGAAGGGUUUCGGCUCGUAAAACUCUGUUAUUAGGGAAGAACAAAUGUGUAAGUAACUGUGCACGUCUUGACGGUACCUAAUCAGAAAGCCACGGCUAACUACGUG
RNAcentral lists this ribosomal RNA (497 nucleotides) under uncultured bacterium. Its description in RNAcentral is "partial 16S ribosomal RNA". It matches the Rfam family "Bacterial small subunit ribosomal RNA", at positions 28 to 507 of the family's 1533-position model. The record is from RNAcentral.